CUAGCGGCGGACGGGUGAGUAACGCGUGGGCAACCUACCCUAAAGUCUGGGAUAACAGCGGGAAACUGCUGCUAAUACCGGAUAGCUUUAACCGGGGGCAUCUUCGGUUAAAGAAAGAAGCGAUUCGCUUUAGGAUGGGCCCGCGUCCCAUUAGCUGGUUGGUGAGGUAACGGCUCACCAAGGCGACGAUGGGUAGCCGGCCUGAGAGGGUGAACGGCCACACUGGAACUGAGACACGGUCCAGACUCCUACGGGAGGCAGCAGUGGGGAAUAUUGCACAAUGGGCGCAAGCCUGAUGCAGCAACGCCGCGUGGAGGAUGAAGGCCUUCGGGUUGUAAACUCCUUUUAGUAGGGAAGAAGCGAAAGUGACGGUACCUACAGAAAAAGCGUCGGCUAACUACGUGCCAGCAGCCGCGGUAAUACGUA
RNAcentral lists this ribosomal RNA (426 nucleotides) under uncultured Actinomycetes bacterium. RNAcentral's name for it is "bacterial SSU rRNA". It matches the Rfam family "Bacterial small subunit ribosomal RNA", at positions 92 to 529 of the family's 1533-position model. The record is from RNAcentral. Lineage: Bacteria; Bacillati; Actinomycetota; Actinomycetes.